RNAcentral lists this unclassified non-coding RNA (378 nucleotides) under plant metagenome. RNAcentral describes it as "partial contains 5.8S ribosomal RNA, internal transcribed spacer 2, and large subunit ribosomal RNA". The stretch from base 1 to 105 matches the Rfam family "5.8S ribosomal RNA", at positions 50 to 154 of the family's 154-position model. The record is from RNAcentral.
GAAAUGCGAUAAGUAAUGUGAAUUGCAGAAUUCAGUGAAUCAUCGAAUCUUUGAACGCAUCUUUCGCUCCUUGGUAUUCCUUGGAGCAUGCCUGUUUGAGUAUCAUGAAAUCUUCAAAGUAAAUCUUUUGUUAACUCAAUUGGUUUCUACUUUGGUAUUGGAGGUCUUUGCAGCUUCACACCUGCUCCUCUUUGUUCAUUAGCUGGAUCUCAGUGUUAUGCUUGGUUCCACUCGGCGUGAUAAGUUAUCUAUCGCUGAGGACACUGUAAAAGGUGGCCAAGGUAAAUGCAGAUGAACCGCUUCUAAUAGUCCAUUGACUUGGACAAUACUUUUAUGAUCUGAUCUCAAAUCAGGUAGGACUACCCGCUGAACUUAAGC